AUGAUAAUAUAUAAAGGACAGAAAUUAUUGACCACUAUAUUUUUUUUCUAAAAAUUUAAUUCUUUUUAAUCUUAUGUUUUUCAUUAGUGUAUAAAUUUUGAAGUAUUUAAAAAUCAUCAAUUCUUUUACUUUCUGUAUUUCAGUAUACAUUCCCUUAUCAGGAAUUAAAUCAGGAAUUAAAUCCCUUUUCAAAAAUCCUUCAUCUGCCCCUACAAAGACAUGAUAGACGGAGGUUGAAAAAAAAGUACAAGGUGAUUUUAAUGGAUAUCUUGUUCCAUGCAAGCUGUGGAUUUCCAAAUUAAAAACAUUAUGGAAAGUUCAAGAUGGACAAUAUUGAAUUCCACUACUUCUUAUUUCCAUUUAGCAAAUAUUUUAGCAUACAGGAAACAAAAAAGACAUUCAUGCAAUAAACAUAUAAUACAUAAAAGGGAAACCACAUGCAACGAUGCAUAAUAAAAUGUUAGUACAUGUAGCACUUACACUAAAUGCUAACUCUUAGUUCAAAUUUAACAAUAUAUGAACAUGUAAAAAUUGGAAUAGGAAUACUGUAAGUUCAGAAAUUAUUGCAAGGUUUUUAUAAAUGCCUAUAACAUGUAUAAUGUGACUUCUUGAUUAUCGCAAUAAUAAGACUUUGCAUUCUUAUAUCAAACACAUAUACAUGUAUAUGUAUGUAAAACUUU
This 680-nucleotide long non-coding RNA is filed under the name Mytilus galloprovincialis (Mediterranean mussel). Lineage: Eukaryota; Metazoa; Mollusca; Bivalvia; Mytilida; Mytilidae. The record is from RNAcentral.